RNAcentral lists this long non-coding RNA (232 nucleotides) under Pan troglodytes (chimpanzee). RNAcentral describes it as "long non-coding RNA NONPTRT013129". Lineage: Eukaryota; Metazoa; Chordata; Mammalia; Primates; Hominidae. The record is from RNAcentral.
UGGGACUUUGAGAAUUUUGAAGAGAAAGCUAUUCGUUAUUCAUCUUUAUAUCUCUAGUGACAAUCUUAUGCCUGGAGCAUAUUUGAUGCUCAACAAAUUUUUACUGGAAAAAGUGGUAGAAUAUUUUUUACAAAGUUGGAGGCAAUUUUUUUCCAGUUCACUAUACAGUGCAGUAUGAUAGAAAUGUCAGGCUUAGGGAACGAAGGAAAAGUAUGAAACAACUUUGGUAGUG